This 283-nucleotide unclassified non-coding RNA is filed under the name uncultured fungus. Its description in RNAcentral is "partial contains small subunit ribosomal RNA, internal transcribed spacer 1, and 5.8S ribosomal RNA". The stretch from base 1 to 73 matches the Rfam family "Eukaryotic small subunit ribosomal RNA", at positions 1759 to 1831 of the family's 1831-position model. Lineage: Eukaryota; Fungi. The record is from RNAcentral.
ACAAACUUGGUCAUUUAGAGGAAGUAAAAGUCGUAACAAGGUUUCCGUAGGUGAACCUGCGGAAGGAUCAUUAUUGAGGACAGGGCUUCCUUUUAUGGAGCCUAGAGCUUCCCACCAAUGUGUUUAUUACCUGAUUUGCUUUGGCAGCCCUAUUGGCACCAUAGCCAUGUGGCUGCCAGAGAUUUUACUGCUGAAUUAUUAUUAGUGGAUUCUGAGCAAUAUAACAACUUGAAAAACUUUCAACAACGGAUCUCUUGGUUCUGGCAUCGAUGAAGAACGCAGC